CAGUAGCCGCGGGAAUACGUAGGUGGCAAGCGUUGUCCGGAUUUAUUGAGCGUAAAGCGAGCGCAGGCGGUCAAUUAAGUCUGAUGUGAAAGCCCCCGGCUCAACCGGGGAGGGUCAUUGGAAACUGGUUGACUUGAGUGCAGAAGAGGAGAGUAGAAUUCCAUGUGUAGCGGUGAAAUGCGUAGAUAUAUGGAGGAACACCAGUGGCGAAGGCGACUCUCUGGUCUGUAACUGACGCUGAGGAGCGAAAGCGUGGGGAGCGAACAGGAUUAGAGACCCCGGUAGUCCCUGUCUCUUAUAC
Molecule: ribosomal RNA, 301 nt
Filed under: uncultured bacterium
Lineage: Bacteria
Description: partial 16S ribosomal RNA
Rfam family: Bacterial small subunit ribosomal RNA
Source: RNAcentral